RNAcentral lists this ribosomal RNA (500 nucleotides) under uncultured bacterium. RNAcentral's name for it is "partial 16S ribosomal RNA". It matches the Rfam family "Bacterial small subunit ribosomal RNA", at positions 30 to 523 of the family's 1533-position model. The record is from RNAcentral.
AUUGAACGCUGGCGGAAUGCUUUACACAUGCAAGUCGAACGGCAGCACGGGGGCAACCCUGGUGGCGAGUGGCGAACGGGUGAGUAAUGUAUCGGAACGUGCCCAGUCGUGGGGGAUAACGUAGUGAAAAUUACGCUAAUACCGCAUACGAUCUACGGAUGAAAGCGGGGGAUCGCAAGACCUCGCGCGAUUGGAGCGGCCGAUAUCAGAUUAGGUAGUUGGUGGGGUAAAGGCUCACCAAGCCAACGAUCUGUAGCUGGUCUGAGAGGACGACCAGCCACACUGGAACUGAGACACGGUCCAGACUCCUACGGGAGGCAGCAGUGGGGAAUUUUGGACAAUGGGCGAAAGCCUGAUCCAGCCCUUCCGCGUGCAGGAUGAAGGCCUUCGGGUUGUAAACUGCUUUUGUACGGAGCGAAAAGGCUCUCUCUAAUACAGGGGGCUCAUGACGGUACCGUAAGAAUAAGCACCGGCUAACUACGUGCCAGCCGCCGCCGUAA